UAGGGAAUCUUCGGCAAUGGGGGGAACCCUGACCGAGCAACGCCGCGUGAGUGAAGAAGGUUUUCGGAUCGUAAAGCUCUGUUGUUAAGGAAGAACGAGUGUGAGAAUGGAAAGUUCAUACUGUGACGGUACUUAACCAGAAAGGGACGGCUAACUACGUGCCAGCAGCCGCGGUAAUACGUAGGUCCCGAGCGUUGUCCGGAUUUAUUGGGCGUAAAGCGAGCGCAGGCGGUUAGAUAAGUCCGAAGUUAAAGGCAGUGGCUCAACCAUUGUAGGCUUUGGAAACUGUUUAACUUGAGUGCAGAAGGGGAGAGUGGAAUUCCAUGUGUAGCGGUGAAAUGCGUAGAUAUAUGGAGGAACACCGGUGGCGAAAGCGGCUCUCUGGUCUGUAACUGACGCUGAGGCUCGAAAGCGUGGGGAGCGAACAGG
RNAcentral lists this ribosomal RNA (429 nucleotides) under Bacteroidota bacterium. RNAcentral describes it as "Bacteroidetes bacterium partial 16S ribosomal RNA". It matches the Rfam family "Bacterial small subunit ribosomal RNA", at positions 355 to 776 of the family's 1533-position model. Lineage: Bacteria; Pseudomonadati; Bacteroidota. The record is from RNAcentral.